GAAUUAUUCAAUUAACAAAUUUGACUACAUUUUAUCACUAGUUUUACAUUGUCUAGAUUUCUUAACCUAUAAUGAGGAAUACAGCAGAGUUGCAAUUACCGAUUUCAAUGGCAAGGGCAGAGAAAGCAGAGCAACCAGGUCCACCAGUGAGCCAAAGCAUGAGAGGAUCUUCCUUUGGAUUGUUUUCUGAUUCAAUGAAGUAAUAAAACACUUGCACAUCCUCUUUUUCACCAACUCCCACAUACCUUAUCAACAAUAUAUUAAUAUGAAUACAUUGAAACAAAAACUCAAAAAGCAUCAACUAUCUAUAUAGCUAAGUAAAUAAAUCUGACCCUGUUUCAAGCAGAAAAGGAAGUGGUCCAUUGAAUCCAGGGAGAAACUUGACUAUGGAGCCACAUGUUGCAACUUGAAAGGAAAUAUUUGAUAAUAAAAGAACAACAAAAAUAACCUUUCCAAAAGGGUAAUCAUGAUGAGUAUCCUUUGCCAUCUUUUAUGUUGUUGAUGUCAACGGAAGAGUGUUGCAAGCACACUAUAUAUAGCAUUUUUCAUUGUCAUUUUCUUUCUUUGAUUUUAUUUUUCUCAAAGAGUAAAAAUUGAUUUCAAAUAAGGUGAAAAAUGCCACAUUGAAUGAAGAUAUGAAUAGAGGUAUAGUGGUUAAGAAACGGCCACGUCUGUAGAAUUCAAAUGUCAUUAAUGAUAUGAUGCAGUGCAUAUUAACACGUAAAUAAAUAAUGGUCACGUACAAGGAAAAGUAGUUGCGUUGCACCUACUUGACUAUGGACUCACUCACAAACAAUAAUCAAGAUAUUUAUUUCUUGAGAAUUACUGUUUUUUUUUUAAUUUAAAAAUAAGUUUUGAAAAAUGAUAUCGAAGAAAUUAUCGAAUCAAAUUGUGGACUAAGGUUCUAUUUGAUAAAUAUAUUGUCUAGUUAAUAAGUUAGCUGAUAGUUUAUAACUUAUGAUUGAUGGCUGAUGACUAAUAGUUUAUAGUUUAUAGUUGGUGACCGAUGACUUAUAGCUAAUUAAAGUGUUUGGUAAAAUUAACAGUUUAAUUAAUUGAUAAAUUAAAAUGACAUAGAAGAUAUUUAAUAUAUAAUUGUUUUUAUUUAAAUUAAAAUAAAUUAUAAAGGAUAUUAAUGGAUUUUAAUUAAAAUAAUAAGAACAAAAAUGGAAGAGAAAAAUGAUAAGCAUAAGCUAAAAUGCUACUCCCUCCGUCCUACAAUGAGUGACCCAUUUAGAAUAAAAGAGUUUUCCAAAAUGAAUGAUCAUUUAAAAUAAUUUCUCAAAUGUGGAGGAAUACUAAAAGUGAAAAUCAAGUUUGUUUUGUAGGAAUUUUUUGAAGCUUUAAAUGAAGUCCUUAGUGCAAAUUAAAUGAAGUCGUGCAAAGAUGUACACCUUUGAAUAUACAAGAUAUGCCAGACGAAUUUUAAUUUUUAUCAUCCACGUAUAUUUGUUGAUGGUGUAUUUCAAGGGAUGUGAUCAAAUGAAUUUUCGUUGAUGAUGAUUUUCAACAUUUGUAAUGAUCCGUGAUGAUCAUUAAACAUCGUACUGAGAUAAUAAGUCUAUAGUGGAUUUAUUAGUCUCAUUGUUUAAACCAACUCUCGUAUCACACGAUUCGUAAAUAAUGAUUUAAUGCAUUAUUUUGUCAUUUUCUCAAAAGGGGAAGUUUUUAUCAAGGGUACAUGAUAUUUAAGGUAAUAAACUUUUUAGAGGUUGAAAAAUGGAAAUUUUGAUUAACCUUCUAAAUAAAUGGUUUAUUAUUUGCUUAUCAAUUAAAAAAAUUAUUAUUACUAGUGAAAUAUUUAAGAUUCUAGCAGUUUUGGAGAAAGGGGUCCAAUCUAGAACAAAAAGGGUGUCAAAAAGAAUAUGCCAAAGUUUAAUCUUAACCCAAGGCCCAAAAAAAUUAAGGAGGAUGAAACAAAGAAAAAUAAUCAAUUAUAUGCCUUAUACAUUUCAAAUUUUAAUUGAAAUUAGAUUGUAUCUUUGCCUCAAAGCAAAUCCAGACAAAACAUUAAUGUAGAAAGCAUUAAAUUCUCAAAAUCAUCAUCAAAUAAUUGAGUAGGCCUCAAAUAUAAUCGAUUAGAAGACAUGUUUUGAAAAAUUUUGGUUUUGAUAUUUUUAGGUCAAAUCUUCAAGGAUUUUUUGGGAGUUUUUACACGUCCAAACUGUCAUACCCCAAAAAUUUCCCUCCCAUUUUCAUCUUUUCAUUCAAUCCUUGACUUAGGAAUCAUCUGUAUACACUCAUGUCUCAAUCAUAUGCAUCAUUCAUCCAAUAAGUUGAUCACUAUAGAUUCAAAGCUCUUGGCUUGUAAACUAGGGUUUGUGUGUGUGUGUUAAUUUUCAAAGGCAUGACAUUGACUAUUCAUUUGGACAUAUGGGAUGUAAAACCCUAAUUGCAUGGUCUAUUGAAGCAUGGAUUCAACAAGAUUUCAUCAUGGCACUCCUCGGGGAUUUCAAACCAUGGUUUCUUGAUGAUAUGGAUAUGGGACCUUAUGAUUGUUCUCCGGGCCUUAUCUUGGUUGUCAAAACCCUAAUUGAGGCUUAUAUAUUAGAGAUUUGCUUAUAAAGCAUCUUGAUUCAUUCAAAGGCUUUGUUUGAGGGGUAUGUCUAAUUGAAACCCUAAUUAGGGAUAAUUGGUAUUCAGGUGUCUUGUUUGGUUGACUUUUUGACUUGGGAUUCAUCAAAACCCUAGUUGAUAGAUGCUUAAGGUCUUAAAGAUUUCAUCUUGGUCCCAUUUCACACCAAACCUUAAUCCUUGAUCUACAGGUUUGUAAGUCCCGUGGCUUGCAUUAAGGUGUUGGAAACCCUAGCCGUGAUUCAUGAUAUUGGUGCACUACUUGUGUUGACUUCUCACUUGGCUUGAGAUGCUUGGUUGAUACAUAACCUUGAACUUUGACCUAGUCAACCCUAAUUCAAUUGGAGGAGGUUGUUAAUCAUUAUGUCAUGCAUCAUGUCAUCAUUGAACUUUCUUGGGAAAUUUGAAUCAUCCAUUUAACUUACAUGUCCAUAUGUUUGGGGAUUUCAUCUGGUUCAAGCUUUUGUUCAAAGCAUUCAUACAUAUGCAUUCCUAAUUCAUUGAUUCUAAGUCUAUGGUGCUUUCAAAUUCACAGGUCUUUGGUCUUUGAAUUCAUGUUUGCAUUGGUGCGUUGAACUUUGAGCCAUUGAUGGUUCUUGAUCCAUUAUAAUUUAUAGGGGCAUUUGUUCUUGAUUCAUCCAUUAAUCUUGGUCCAUUUGGUUCAUGUGUUAUCAUGUGCUCAUGAUCAUUAUGAUUCAAUGGACUAAGGUGAUUAUUUCAUUCAUAGAUCAUUUUGGUUUUGUUAAAAGUCAAGUCUUGUUUUACAUACAAUCAUGUUUAUUUCAUCAAAGCAAUUGAGUUUUCAUUCAUUCAUAAAGAUAUACACUGUCCAUUACAAAAGAGAAAAAAAUACAAUUUUUACAAUGGUUGACUUUUUAGUCAGUGUUUGACUUUUUGGUCAACCAGUUGGCCAAAGUCAACCAACCUAUUUUUACUUGAUUUAAGCCCUAAUGCUCAUUGUAUCUUCAUUGUUGCACCUUUCCAUGUGAUUCCAUGAUCAAUUUCUUCAUGAACAAGAAAGCCACAUUUUGCAUCAAGAUAUGGUCAUUUGUCAUGCCUUGAAGCAUUGCCUUGAAACCAUGACUAAGACAACAACUCUGCAUUCACAACAUGCUAAUAAGUAAACAUUGCACAUUCAUGAUUCUAGUCUUAGCAAAACACGAAGCAAAACCAAGGUAAGAGACAUCACAAAGUCAGAAUUGAUGAUAGCAAUGCACAAUAUCAUACAUGCUGCAAAAACUAGUGCAAGAACAUUGGCCAAGUUUGAGCCUUGCCAUGAGCCUAUGCAUACCAUGGAGUAGCCCAAAACACACUUGCAGAAUCACCACACAAAGCAGAACCAUGGUCUAAAUCAGAAUUUGCAAACCAGAAUGAGUGAACCUCCUGGACAUAACAUCAUACCUGCUAUCAUAACCUAGCAAAACAUACCAAAGUGAAGUCUGCACACAAGCUAAGCCACCAUGAACCCGAGCCUUCCAACCUGCACAAACCACUGCAUAACACAAUUCAAUAACAGUCCAGUCAAUAGUAACGCCUUCAGUUCAAACAUUGACCAUAUCCAUAUCUUUCAGUUUGACAACAAUACAAUCCAACUAACAUUGAUUAGCAUGACAUUCAAUCAACUUUUGUUUUAGUAAUUACAUUGACUCAAAAUUAAUCCAAAGCAGUCUAAGCUAAUAAUCAACAACAUUUGAGUUUUCUAUACAUUCAAUCAACUUUUGUUUUAGUAAUUACAUUGACUCAAAAUUAAUCCAAAGCAGUCUAAGCUAAUAAUCAACAACAUUUGAGUUUUCUAACAGAAAAAACACUUCCAAAUUAGUGUAAUAUGUCUUGCUUCAAGAAACUCAUUAACAGAAGGCAAACUGCACUAACACGAGGGGCUUUAAUUCCUUCUGAUCGUUGUCUAAUUUGCAUUUCAAGAUCCAUGGUUCAUGUGUGAUUGGAUUCAGUUAAUGUUCUACGCACGGUUUUGGUUGAAAUUGAUUGGGGAUUUGAAUUGGGGAGGAUGAUGCGGUUCAUGGGAUGGUUAAGAUUUUGAUUUAGGGUGGCCACCGCCGCUGGAAGCCAUUUCCAACGCAGAGGUCCACGGUGGUCGUGAUUGAACAAUGACCUAAGCUGAGGAUAUGGGCAGGGCGCGCACAUUGUAGUUCAGUUUUAAAUUCAAAUGGUGACUUCAUUUUCCACGAGUACAUUUGACUGACCGCAUUCAAUUGCUCACGUGCUUGUUCAACUAGUUGUGAUUCUAUUGGGCCCUUGGAUGUGGCCUUGUUUGGCUUUACUGAGAUUUCAUCCCUUUUUACUUCUGCAACCCCCAUCAACCAAGAUAUUGUUACAUUGGGCCAGUAGCUCAGGCCCAACUGCGUUUUCUGCCAGGCAUGCCCAUUGUACAUGAUUAACCAUAACUUUUAAUUUAAUUCGAACCCUUUGAUUUAAGUUGAUCAAAAGAAAUUUUGAUUAACUAAAUCCUUUGAUUCAUGUAUAAUCUCACAGUCUAUUCAAGUGAUCAAAAGUUCUUUGAUCACUUGAUAAGACUAUUUAUGUAAAGUUAUGGUUCUCAAGGCCUCAAGUUCAGACUUUCAUGCAAGGCAUCCAAAACAAAUCAAGUAGUGGAUUAUACAAGACAUAUCAAAGGUGAUUCUUCAAGAGCUUGUUAGUCAAGAUCAAAAUUGUAUGACAUGAGCCUUAAGAAAUAGGGAAUGAAUGAGAGUUGAGAAUUUCAUUAACUCAUUCUGAAUAUCUUUGGGUACGGGACGAAUGACCUAGUUGCUCAUCGUAUUCACCUUUAUUCAUAAAAUUUAACACAACUCAAAUCAUACGAUUGUCAAGUCUCUCAUUCUAAAGCAACAAUGAAAUAAUCAAAGGUCUUCAUCAACAACCUAUCAAUCAUAAAUUCAACGUCUUUCAUUAGAAGGCCAGUUAAAGGUUUGGUUAUCUUAGAGAAGUCCUUGAUAAAGCAUCGGUAGAAACCGACAUGUCCAAGAAAACUCCGGACUUCCCUAACUGUCUUAGGUGGUUGGAGAUUUUCUAUAACCUCUAUCUUGGCUUUGUCAACCUCAAUGCCUCUUUCAGAUACUAUGUGUCCUAACAUUAUACCUUCGGUGAUCAUAAAAUGACAUUUCUCCCAGUUUAGAACGAGGUUCACUUCCACGCAUUGUUCUAGAAUUCUUUCAAGGUUAGCUAGGCAGUUUUUAUAAUUGGACCCGCAUACCGAGAAGUCGUCCAUGAAUACUUCCACGAUCUCGUCAAGGAAAUCUGCGAAGAUCGACAUCAUACAAUGUUGAAGGGUAGCUGAGGCAUUGCAAAGUUCGAAUGGCAUUCGUCUAUAGGCAAAUGUUCCAUAAGGGCAUGUAAAAGUUGUUUUCUCUUGAUCAUCGGGGUGAAUAGGAAUUUGGAAAAAUCCAGAGUAUCCAUCUAAAUAAAAAAAGUAAGAAUGUCUAGCUAGACAUUCAAGCAUUUGGUCAAUAAAUGGAAGAAGAAAAUGGUCUUUCCUAGUUACUUUAUUAAGUUUUCUAUAAUCGAUGCACAUACGCCAAUAAUUUUCUAUACGUUUAGCUAAUUUGGUGUUGCUGGAUAUCGAACCUAAAACCUAUAAAUAUUUCACUAUGGUUGUUCAAUAGAACCGUGGUUAUAGGUAGCGCGCUUUUCAGUUUAUUACAACGGAUGAUAGACCGUGGUUGUAAAUAUCACACUUAGAACCACAUACUACCUAAUAAUAGAAGUUCAACUAUUAUUAUAUAUUUUUAUGAACCGUUGUCAUAAGUAUUUUUUAUGGUAGUGUAUAAAAGAUUAUUAAUAUUCAAUUCCCACUAAAAUAAAAUAAAAUGAGAUUGUAAAGAGUGACUAUCCUUAUUCGUUAAGAAUGGAUCAAACUCAAUAUAAAUAAAAUAAUACUUAAAUACAACAAUUAAAAAAAUAACAAAAGUACAAUUUCUCUUAAUUGAAUCUUCAAAAAAAUGUGUAAUUCCAUUGAUUAAUUAAAAGUGCAACUUGAAAUAAAGAUCCCAUUGUUGUUAUCUUUAGAAUAGUAAAAGACAUGGAUACAGUUGCUAUAUAAUAUGCAAAUUCAAGCGAUACAUAUUUAUUUGCAAGUUUAUUUUUAUUUAUUUCUAUAAAGUCUUGUUAGAUAUCCACCUACUAAACAUGUCAAGACAUUCUUUAGGCCGAUACUCCGGAGCUGUGUGUCCUCCACCCUGAAAAUUUCUUCAAUCAAUAAUUGUGCAAUGAAACUAGAUGAUUCUUAGUGCAUGAUAAAGGAAUUGAAUGGGUAAACAUGUUAAUUUAGCGCCUAUAGUACAAACACUUGUAAACAAAAAUAAAGUAAGAACAAUCAACGAGUGCUUAAUAUUAAAUUUUUAAGCCACGUGACUGAACUCUACCAACAAUUUUGUAGUUGUAUCUUUUGAAAUAUUAAGUGUUGAAAGAGAAAAUGCAUUUUUUUAUAGUUUCGUGUUUUUUCAUCGAGCGGACGACGGCGGCAAAGCUACAGAUUAGCGAUAGCUCUAAAAUAUGUUUGGCGGAGGCCAUUGUUGGUGGCUGGGUCUCCUGCCAUGUCAAUUCGAUUUGCAGAUCGCAUCAGUAAUGAGUCAUGUUUUGGUCCAAAAUUGGAUAUCUAUGUUUUUUGUAGUUAAAGAAAUAUGGUUUUAUGACACAUUUAUUAAUAAGAAAGAAAUAGGAAAGAAAUGGUAAUUCUAAUGAAAGAAACUUAUUCAAGAUUGCAAUUUUGAUGUGGAUCAAACUUGAAUCGGUGUAUAUAAUAAACUACUUACAAAUUAUAUUUGGAAAAAAAUUAUAUUUAUUUUGAAUGGUAGAAAAUAAAAUGAAGCAAAUGAUAAAAUUUCAAAAGAUCAUUGAUGAUAUGGAAAAUAUUAAGGUGAAUAUUGAUGAUAAGGAUAAGAACCUACUAUUGUUAAUAAGAGUGUUCAUGGGUGCGGAAUGACUCACAAAUCCGUUGACCCAAACUAACACAAUCCAUAAAUUAUUCGAACUCAUCCAUUUAUGGGUAUACUCAACUCAACCCAUAACAACCCGUAUAGUUUUGAUUCGAGCAUCGGGUUUGAGUUUUGCAACCCGCCGACCUGUUGACUCAACCUAUUGAUAUGACUUUAGUAAUUUCUUAUUAUUUUAAAUAAAAAUAUAAAAUUAAUAUCUUACUAAUAACCAUAAUUUUUCUUAAAAAAUGUAUUCUCCACCAAUACUACUACUAGACCAAUGAGUUUACGUAAUUCUAAGAUUAAAUGUUGUUUCUUAUUUUCUUUUGUAUCAUUUCCAACUUAUGUAUUUUAUUGCAAUAAUGUGCCUUGUUGAAUUUUAUACUAUUAUAAAGUGUUAUGUCGAAUUGAUGAAUUUUAUUAGAUAUUAUAUGAUGUGUUUCAUUGAAUUUGAGUGUUAUAAAUACGUAUGAUUGCAUUGAGUUGUGUUACAUUUUUUUAAAACCGAAAAAAAGGAAUCAUAAAAAAUAUAUUUUUUAUUUGAAACACAACCCGCGAAUCCAACCCAACUCAACCCAUUAAUGAACGAGUCGGUUCGUGUCGGUUUUGACAAUGAAAUUGCGGGCUGAACGACGAAUCCAACCCAUUGAAUUUUGAACGGAUUGGGUAACGAGUUAGGUCAAACCCGGUCCAAUCCAACCUGCGUACAUCCCUAAUUGUUAAGAUUAUUAUACAUAUCUUUUGAGAAUUUUAAGGAUGUCCUUCUUUGUAAUAAAGAAUGUAAUAUCACCUUGGAUGAAGUCCAAAUGGCUGUGAGGUUCAAUGAAUCUUUAAAGAUAAAAGUUUUGAAGGUUUAUGAUAUUAGUCAAUGCUUGAGUGCAAUAUUUUAAAAAUCGAAUCAAAACAGAUAAAAACAAGUGAACCGAUUGUUUUGGAAAACCAGCGGGUUAAAUGCUUGAUUUUUUUUUCUCAAACAUAACGACGUUGUUUUUGAUAAAAAAAAAAUUAAAAUUAAAAUUAAAAUAUAAGUAGACUUUGUUAAAAAUUUAUUUGGAACACAUUUUCCUCCUUAUAAAUUUAUUAGACAUUGCCAAUUAUUUUGUUCUUUGGUUUAUGUUGCAAUUAGAAUUUGUUCAAAAUUUAUUUAGAUUUGUAUUUUGUUGUGUGAUAUGUUUAAAAUUUAAAUUUAAAUAAUCAACUUUUGAAAUUUAGAGAAACAACUUUUGAAUUUAAAGAAACAACUUUUGAAAUUUUGAACUUUUGUAAGUCUUGUGACUUUUCUAAAGAUCGAGUCAUCUGGUUUGAUCAAUUUAAUAACUAUAUAGUUUUGUUAUAGAGAUCGGAUUAUUCAAUCAAAUUAUCUGGUUUGAUCCUAUUUAGCCAUGUCGUUAGACCAGUGACCCAUUGGUUCGACCAAUGAACCAGUGACUCAGUACUCUCAUCCGUUUGAUGACGGGUCCGAUUUUUAAAAUAAUAUUUGAGUGUCUCAAGUGGUGGGAGUGGUAGUAUAAUAAAGUUCAAGGGUUUUGAUAGGUCAAGGGUAAAAUUCUUUAUUUUCAUAAAACCAAUCACUUUAAAAAGGAUUACCUCGAGAAAAAGGACAAUGAAGAUUUUGUACAGGUUGCAGUUGUCUCAGUUAUGGAUGGAUAUAAGAGUGUUUGUGCACUAGUGAUGUAAAAUUUUGAGAAUAAAAAGACUUGGGCCAUGGACUCAAUAUUCUCUUAUCACACGUGCCCAAGGAAAACAUUAUUUAAGACUUUGAAGCUGGAAGAAGGUGGAGUCGUUCGAUUCGCUGACGAUAAGUCUUACAAGGCUCAUAGUUUUUUGUACGAUCAAACUUAAAAUGUCAAAAGAUCAUAAGUUCCUUCUACAAAAAAAUGAGGUAUAAUCAUAAGCAUGUUUAAUGAUCUAACCUAUUGAAAUAAAGUUGAACAUAAGGCGUUCGAAAAUUUUCAUAGUGGAUUGAUGAUGGAUAAACGCUCUAAAAUAUAUGGGUUAUAUAUUUUAGAAGGUUCCAUUAUAUUUGGUCAUGCAUCAUUACUUAGUUAAGACUUUCACGACAAGAACAAGAUAUGAUAUUUGAGAUCAAGGAAUUUUAAAGAAAGAAGAACUAACAAAUGCGUGGAUGUUAUUUUAGAAAUUUUAAAUGAGUUUUAAAUGAAACAAGGUAUAAAGAAGGAUAUAUUUGUUGCUGGAAUGCUAGGAGUCAGGGUUCAAAAAAGUUCUCAUAUAAGGCUGGUGCCAAAGCAUCUAACCUAAUUGUAAGAUGUUUAUUCACAUAAGUAGACUUCAUGACAACUAUGGAGGUUUGGAUUAGGAACUUGAAAAUUACUCUAAUUUGAAGGUCUUAAAAGUUGUUUCAUUUGUACAAAUCAAGAUAGAAUAGUUUAAUGGUAAAACUCUAAAGUGUGUCUUAAUUGGUUAUCCAAAAGGAAAGAAUAACUAUCAUUUUUGGAAGGUGGAACUUGGAGGAUUAAAAUUCAUCAUAAUCAAGAUUGUAACUUCAAUUAGACCCAUUAAGGGAUGAAAUGUAAAGACCUGAAAUUGAGAGACUAAAAAACUAUGGUGGAAAAGACUCAACAUACAAUGAAUCUUUUUCUAUGAAGACUAGAGAUGAGGAAUAUGCAAGGCUUUGCUUCUAGUUCUAUUAAUGAGAAAUAUAUAGUGGCUUUUGAUUAUAAUUUGACUCAUGAUAGGAUAAGGAGGGAAAGUUUACCAUCUCAUGGAUAUGGUUAUGUCGGCUUUAAUUGUUAUGCUUUGAACGUGAGUUAAGGGUUGUAAAGCUCAUAAUCAAAUGCCUUAAGGGAAACAUUCAAAAUAAAGGAGACUUAAAUAUGUUUGAAGGAGAUGAAUGAUUCAUUAAUUCAAGAACCAUGAUUGUGGACUUAUGAGAAUACCUUAAAAAUAAAAAUUUGUUUGAUAGAAGUGGAUGAAAGUGCCUAGAUCAAGGUUUAAGCAUUCCUUGCAUUUGAUCAAGUUUGUUGAAUAAUGAUUCGAGCUUUAGAGAUGACAACAAGGUGAUUGAUAAUUAAAUUUACAUCACCAUAUGUUGAGUCAAGGUGUAAAAAUGAAAAGUAUGUUUCAAUAUCCCUAGUGAUGAAGAGAAAAAGCAUUUUUGGUUAUGUCAGAUUUUUCUCGCGAGUAGGCAAUUGCAGUGGAGUCAUGGAUCAGUGAUAUUGCUAGAAUUCGGCAUGAGGAUACUUAUGGUCAACACUCUAGGUGAUGUCGGUCAGGUCACAAGUCCUUGUGUUUACAUGUAUGAAGCUAAUGAUCCUGGUAUUGUUGACAACCUUGAUGUUUUGAUAACAACAAUAAUAAUGCUUGUUGAAGUUGGUGGUGAUAUCUUUCCAACUCUCGGAUGAUGGUGAUUAACUUGAAGUAUCUCAAGCCUCAUUAAGUAAAAUAUUUAAAGUUCAAGUAAAGGGCUUAUCUGAUCGGAGUAUAUGGAAAAGGAAUUUGAGACUUCAAAGUUGUGAAAUAGAGGAAGUAUGAAAGCUUACCUGGUCGUGUCUGUUUGAGUUACCAGAGUCUUGUGAAAGUAGGAAAGUAAGUCCUAAGAUCUUAAGAAAACUCACAUACAGACACAAACACGCUUAAAAAAACCCUUUUAUGACCUUUCUUUAUUUUCUAAAAACAACCGAAAACAUUUUGAAGUCCUAGCUAACUGAUUAAGGGGUUGUCUUAUCAAUUAGAGGACUUUUUACAAUUAAAUGAUCAAUUAAACCUAAUCAUCUAAUUAAUCAUUUUUAUCUUGUUGAGUAUAAAAUUGAUUGAGACAAUAUCUUAAUGAUUGGGACAAUAUCUUAAUGAUUGAUAACGACUAAAUAUCAAAACCUUACAAUUUGUGGCUUGAACAAUCAAUUAUUCAAGGAUAAAAAUCGUCUGGCCUAACCGAUUAUUCAAUUAAUUCUUCCCAUGGAUUGUUUCAUUUUUUAGACUCAUUUUCUCAUAUAUGAAGGAGGUCUCUCCUCGUUUGAAAUCACACAUGAAUUUAGAGUUUUCCUAUUUCUUACUAUUUUAGUACUCUCCUCCUUUCUCACUGAUAUUUUCUUUCACCAAAGUUGUCUUAGUGUCUUGUGAGUGAAAACUACUUGUGAGGAAAGUGUUGUACUAAUGUAGUUUUAUUUUUUAUUUCAAGAGUGUGAUUCUUUUGAAAAUUCCUAUUUUGCUUCUAGAGAUAAACCAGUGAAAAUCUUCUUUUGUUUAUAGAACUCAAUCCGGUAAAAGUUCUGUUUGGUUAUUAAGAUUAGUCGGAAAAAAUGACUACUUGGUUUGUAAGCUCAGCCCAUGCAAAAGCUCUUGUUUUGUUUGGAGGAUAAACAUGUGUAAAGUCUCUCGAUUUGUUUGUAAUAAGGUUCGUGGGCAUAACAUGUAAAACCUCAAGAUUACUAUUAAAACUCUCAAGAAAAUCUCUUGGGAACAAAAGUAGACCAACAUUCGGCCGAACCUGUAUCAAUAUCGGUGUCAUCUCUUUAACCCUAUCUCUUUACUUUAUUAUUUUGUUUCAUUAAGCUGCUUUCCUCUAUGCUAUUUCAAUACUAACAUAAUUUGGUAUUUUAAGUUAACUAUUUUUUUAAUUAAUCACGAAUUUUAAAUACCACAAUUCACCCCUCCCUUUAGUGUUUGGAGUCACUUAGUCAAUAGUUGUGGGACAUGUCAGUUUGGUUUCGAUAAAGGGUCAUGUUUUGGGUCCGGAUUAGAUAUAGAGGGUUCGAUAGUUAUAAAUAUGGGUUCUAUGUCACUUUUGUUAGUAUGAAAGAAAUAGGAAAGAGGUGGUAAUCUAGGUUAUAAGAGAGAAGCAUGAAUAAGAAUUAAUAGGAUUUAUUGUUCUACGAAUUUGAUAGACCUUUUGGGAUAUCUAAAUGGAUUGAGAAACACUUCUAAACAUAUUGGUUUGAGUGAUUCAUCUAUUGAGAGUUGGAGAUAUUUGAAAACAUUUGGAUAGAAAAUAAAAUUUGUUCUUGAGAACUUGAAACACAAUUUUCUUACAACUCAUAUGGCAAUCUCUUAUAAUAACUCAUAAAAUAUAAUGAAUUAAGGAAAUGCUCUUUUCCCUGAGUAUAUAAGUUUAAUCGAAUUAGAUAAACAAAUUCUACAUAUUUUUUUUUUUGUCUUUUAUCUUAUUUUUGUUCACGUGGAUUUUCUAGCACUCUUUUGUGUGCACAUUGAUAUUUCUUAUGGCUAUUUAUUUUGAUUGUAGUUGUACUUUUCUCCACACAUUAAUGUUCUUUGGGUGAUUGAUAUCAUUAUAUUUCACAAGAUAUUCAUAGACUAAUCAAGUGAAAUAUGUUUACGCAAGUGAAAAUAUGUGUACGUAAUUGUAGUUAUAGAAAUUUAAAAACAAUAGUCUUACCUUCACAGUUGCAAAUGUCAUUUGAUUAGAGUAGGCCCGUGUAUAUCUGCACAUAGAAAAUUAAAAAAAAAAUGUUAAUCCAACUUAUUAAUAAACCAUUUAUUUUUAAUUAUUAUUUAAAACAUAAUUAGAAUUAUGUGAAUACCCUGCAACUUGGUCAUUUGCAUACCACUGUCUCCAGUCAUCAACAAUGGAAUAAUUUAAAGAUCUUAUCCAAGCUUGUGUCCCCAAGAAUGGAACUAACAGGUCAUGAUCUCCACUAUUAUAAUAAAUAUACAAAAUUUAUUACCACAAGAAAUCAAUACUACAAAGUUCAUCUUAUGAAAUAUAUGAGCAUAGAGAAAUACUACUGACCUGUAAAUUAGUGAGCGAAUGCCCUUUUUACUGAGAUUUACAUGAUAAUCAUAACUGUUAAAUAUAUCUUUCUCAUGAGGUAUAUUAAAGGUACAACGAGACCAUUUUCCCAUACUACCCUGCAACACAUGCAACCAACAUAACUAGUAAAGAAUGUUCUGCAAUAGUGUGAAAUUCUGUAACAUAUUAUAAAGGAGAUAACAACUCUAUACCUUACGUAUGUGCAAUGCUUUACGAACAUUGUCAUCAUUGGCCCAAAUACCGCAAAGAAAAUAUGGAUAACUCUAAGGGUAGAAAGAAAGGAAACAAACAUCAACUUAAACAAAGUAUUUUGAAAUUUAUAUAUUAAGAUUAUCAUUGCAAAUUGCAUUCCAUAAAUAUAUAUAUAUAAAAAAGAAGAAUUACUCGACAACUCGACGAAGGCAAUCUGAGAUUUGAAGUGAGGAAGUUGGAGGGAUAUUUAAUUAGAGAUCUCCUCUGAAUUUUUUGAGUAUCAUCAAGCCAUUCACAUCGUGGGUCUAAAAUAUGAGCUGUAUUAAGUCCUGAUAUAGCCUCUUCAAAUAAUCUGAUAUCUUUAGAACAUAAGAUACUUCUGCUUUCUUCAUUUAUAUAAUCGCCUUUACAAUUUAUUUGGAGUGACUACAAAAUAUUACAGAUUAGUUAGUUUUGAAUGUGUAUUAAGGAAUUAAAAUUCAAUUUUGAAAUUACUUUAUAUAAUUCAUCUGAUAUGAGUCCCAUUCCAUGAGCAAAAGGGAUUGCAUAAUUGUUUUCCUUCCUAGUUGUCAUAGCAUUCCCCAACAAAUAUCCCUGAAGAAGCCAUUCGAUGAUAUAUUAUUUGUUCCACAUAAUGCAUAAUUUAGGAUGCACCAAUUAAAAAAAUUAACCUGAAGAUUAAUCCAAGGCUGGACACCUUUUUCAUUUGCUGCAAACAAGGAAAUUUGUGAAUAAUUUCAUUAAAAUUUUCAAUAUACAACAAAUGAAUAACAACAUAAUAGUAUUACAAUAAGCAACGAGUUUUGCACCUUGUAUAAUUUCUUGAGCAAUUACUGGAAGAGGGAUGCCAGAGUAUGAAUCACCGCCAAUGUAAAUUUUAUUUGAUUGAAAUUUUGGAUGAUCAACUAACCACUGCAAAUAUUUAUAACAUGACUUUCGCUCUUUUUUUACUGAUUAUAAUAAAUAAGUUUUAAAAAAUAAAGAAAAAAUUAUUAUUGUGUAAUGAAAACAAUGGAAAUUGUUUGAAUACCUUUCUGAAAAAUUGAUGAGUUUGAUGAACUAGUAUCGAAUCGCUUCGUUGUGAACCAGAAUUUGUUGUGGCAUAUGUGAAUCCUGUGUUAACAGGCAAAUCUACAAAUAUAAUGCUACUCACCUAUACAUAAAAAUAAUUUAUUUUUAAAAGACAAAUAUCUAAAUGUUUAAAUAAAAUGAUUAGAUGAAAUAGAUACAAUAAAGCCAAAAAUAUUAAAAUUAGGCUACACAAAAGAAUUAAACCCCAACCUUUGUCCAUGAAUGUGGUUUCAGUAUCAGAUUAGGCAAACUCCCAUUAUACUCCUCCUUUUUAAAUUCAAGUGGACCUACAAUGCAACAUCUCAAAUUUUAAUUAUUUUGCUUAAUUAUGUUAUUUUUCCUAAUUAAUUUAACUAUCGAUAGAUAAGCAUUUGAUAGAAAAACAUUUGGGAAAGGGAGUCCGCUAAGUCUGUGCCACGAAAACUCUAAAAAAAAAUAGGAGGACAUAGUGCAAGCCUAUAACUUUAAUCUAUUCUCUAUUCGCGGAUACUGUAUUAUUAAAGUUAAAAAUUACAAAAUUUUAAGUUGAUGUCUGGCUCAAUAAAUUUUUUUUAAAAAUCGAAUCAAUCGAACCAAACUAAACUGCAUUAAUUUGGUUUGGUUCGAUUUUACUUUUAAAAGUCAAUCGAAACAAAUUAAACCACAUAUUUUUUUCUUUUACAAUUCGGAUGAUUUUUGACUUCAAAAUCAACCAAACCGCACUGCAAAUACCCCUAAUCUCAUCCCACAAAAUAGUGCGAACAACACAUACAUGCUCACGAGUCAGACCCAUUUUACCACCCGUAAUAUUUCAUAAUAUUUUUUCCUCCUAUACAAACAAUUAAGGAAUGAUUUUUGAGUUUUUUCUUAUAUCUUUCAAAUCAUCUCACUAACACCAUCUAUUAUAUUUUAUAUAAACUAUUUAAGGAAUGUUUUGUUCUUUUUUCUUCUUUUUCUCAUUCUCUCUACCGACCACCAUUUCACUAACCCAAUUGAUUAUAUUUCACUCAAUUUAUCUUUAACAUAAACUUCAAAUACUUACUGCAAGAGUAUCUAAAGCAAAGCUGCAAUUACCAAUUUCAAAGACAAGGCCAGACAAAGCAGAGCAACCAGGUCCACCAGUGAGCCAAAGCAUGAGAGGAUCUUCCUUUGGAUUGUUUUCUGAUUCAAUGAAAUAAUAAAACACUUGCACAUCCUCUUUUUCACCAACUC
Molecule: long non-coding RNA, 15684 nt
Filed under: Lathyrus oleraceus (garden pea)
Lineage: Eukaryota; Viridiplantae; Streptophyta; Magnoliopsida; Fabales; Fabaceae
Description: Pisum sativum (pea) long non-coding RNA (PSAT_LNC003750)
Source: RNAcentral